This 1419-nucleotide unclassified non-coding RNA is filed under the name Hevea brasiliensis (rubber tree). Lineage: Eukaryota; Viridiplantae; Streptophyta; Magnoliopsida; Malpighiales; Euphorbiaceae. The record is from RNAcentral.
UGCCACACAGGAUAGGAGCUCAAUAAGGAGUCACAAAAAUUUGUUUUUUGAUAACUUGGAAAACAAAUGGAUUUAUUUACAUAAACACUACAAGUACUUGCAUCACUUAUAAUACAAAAAGAAAACUUCCCUCCUUUUGCCAUACUCUCCCUAGUGUAAACAUACUUAAUCAAAAAGAACACACUUUUGCCAAAGAAUAUUACUUAAUAUAUAUAUAUAUACGUAUAUAGACACUCGUUUCGUGCAUAAGGGUCUCAAUUUUGAGGAUGAAAUAAGUUUGAUCCCGCGAUAUGUGGAGUCUUCAAGCCUGAGCUAAGGGGAUCAUUGGUCGUGCAGUUUCGGAGAUGGUCUUCUUUUUGAGUUGGUUAGGUAAGGGAAGCUGUGUAGGCCUAGAUGGACCUGCACCAGUAGCUUCAGUAGAAGUUGUUCCUUGUGAUUCUUGUACUGCCUGUGUCAGUAUCUCAACCACUUCGCUCAUUUUUGGUCGCUCUUUGGCGUUCUUGUUUAAGCAGCUAUCAGCCAGUUUAGCAAUUCUCUUAGCAGCAAUAAUUGAGAAGUCGUUUCGAAGCCUCGAGUCAAUUAUCAUGCUAAAUCUUCUACUAUCAGCAGGAAAUUGUUUUACCCAAUCAAGAAGUUUCUGCUCGUUCACAGGACGGCUCCUUUCCAAAGUUCGCCUGCCUGAGAGGAUCUCAUAGAGGACAACUCCAAAGCUCCAUACAUCACUCUUAACUGAUAGAUGUCCAGUUUCCACAUAUUCAGGGGCAGCAUAUCCUAAAGUCCCCACCGGCUAAGAACAAAGAGUUACGUAUUAACAAUCAGGCCAUGAGAAUUGAAGUCUAAAGCAUGCCUAACCUGCGCAAUUCAGGGCCUAAAAAUGACUGUAAAGAUAAACUAGCUAGUAAAGUAAUAAAGCACGUGGUUAACAUAAAUAGCUAGAGAACAAUGAAAACAAACAGCAUGGUAACUUGAGACUGGAAAGAGGUAUAUGAUGGCUCAUCUAAGCGAGAAGCUAAUUUGUUCAGACUCGUUUGUGGAUUCGAUAAGGGUGUGGAUCCAGGAAUCGGAUCCUUCAUGAUAUAAAUCUUAAGAUUUAUGGGUGUGGAUCCAAGUUUAGAUACAGGGGUGGGAAUGAGGCUAAAAAUUAGAGUUAUAUGUCUAAAUUGUGAGAUAUUGUGUGGAAAACUUACAAGGUGUCCGAAGAAAAAAUAUUGAUUAAGACUAGAAUCCCCAAAGGUGAUACAAGCAAAAGGACUGACAUAGAAAUUUCUCUAUACAAGGUACUCCAUUUUCUUCAAUUUCGUCUUAGUUUUGUCUUGAUUACAGAAAUCAUUGUAUCUAUCCACAAAUUUCUCUGUUGAUUUUAGUAAAAGUACCCAUAGUAGAUUGACCAAAUCAGGUACAGAUCCCACACCUACGUCG